UACGUAGGGCGCAAGCGUUGUCCGGAAUUAUUGGGCGUAAAGAGCUCGUAGGCGGCCUGUCACGUCGGGUGUGAAAGCCCGGGGCUUAACCCCGGGUCUGCAUUCGAUACGGGCAGGCUAGAGUGUGGUAGGGGAGAUCGGAAUUCCUGGUGUAGCGGUGGAAUGCGCAGAUAUCAGGAAGAACACCCGUGGCUAAGGCGGCUCUCUAGUACGGUACUGACGCUGAGACGCGAAAGCGUGGGGAGCGAACAGG
RNAcentral lists this ribosomal RNA (253 nucleotides) under uncultured bacterium. RNAcentral's name for it is "partial 16S ribosomal RNA". It matches the Rfam family "Bacterial small subunit ribosomal RNA", at positions 524 to 776 of the family's 1533-position model. The record is from RNAcentral.